ACGAACGCUGGCGGCGUGCUUAACACAUGCAAGUCGAGCGAUGAAGCACCUUCGGGUGUGAAUUAGCGGCGAACGGGUGAGGAACACGUGAAGAAUCUGCCUUCAACUCUGGGAUAACUCCGGGAAACCGGGGCUAAUACCGGAUAUGAGCCUUGAUCGCAUGAUCGGGGCUGGAAAGUUUUUCGGUUGAAGAUGACUUCGCGGCCUAUCAGCUUGUUGGUGAGGUAAUGGCUCACCAAGGCGACGACGGGUAGCCGGCCUGAGAGGGCGACCGGCCACACUGGGACUGAGACACGGCCCAGACUCCUACGGGAGGCAGCAGUGGGGAAUAUUGGGCAAUGGAGGAAACUCUGACCCAGCGACGCCGCGUGAGGGAUGAAGGCCUUCGGGUUGUAAACCUCUUUCAGUAGGGAAGAAGCGAAAGUGACGGUACCUACAGAAGAAGCACCGGCUAACUAUGUGCCAGCAGCCGCGGUAAUACAUAGGGUGCAAGCGUUGUCCGGAAUUAUUGGGCGUAAAGAGCUCGUAGGUGGUUCGAUACGUCGGAUGUGAAAAUCAGGGGCUCAACCCCUGACCUGCAUCCGAUACGGUCGAGCUAGAGUUUGGUAGGGGAGACUGGAAUUCCUGGUGUAGCGGUGGAAUGCGCAGAUAUCAGGAGGAACACCGAUGGCGAAGGCAGGUCUCUGGGCCAAUACUGACACUGAGGAGCGAAAGCGUGGGGAGCGAACAGGAUUAGAUACCCUGGUAGUCCACGCCGUAAACGGUGGGCGCUAGUUGUGCGAACCUUCCACGGUUUGUGCGACGCAGCUAACGCAUUAAGCGCCCCGCCUGGGGAGUACGAUCGCAAGAUUAAAACUCAAAUGAAUUG
This 868-nucleotide ribosomal RNA is filed under the name uncultured Actinomycetales bacterium. RNAcentral's name for it is "bacterial SSU rRNA". It matches the Rfam family "Bacterial small subunit ribosomal RNA", at positions 29 to 912 of the family's 1533-position model. Lineage: Bacteria; Bacillati; Actinomycetota; Actinomycetes; Actinomycetales. The record is from RNAcentral.